Molecule: ribosomal RNA, 429 nt
Filed under: Chloroflexota bacterium
Lineage: Bacteria; Bacillati; Chloroflexota
Description: Chloroflexi bacterium partial 16S ribosomal RNA
Rfam family: Bacterial small subunit ribosomal RNA
Source: RNAcentral
UGGGGAAUAUUGCACAAUGGGCGCAAGCCUGAUGCAGCCAUGCCGCGUGUAUGAAGAAGGCCUUCGGGUUGUAAAGUACUUUCAGCGGGGAGGAAGGGAGUAAAGUUAAUACCUUUGCUCAUUGACGUUACCCGCAGAAGAAGCACCGGCUAACUCCGUGCCAGCAGCCGCGGUAAUACGGAGGGUGCAAGCGUUAAUCGGAAUCACUGGGCUUAAAGCGCACGCAGGCGGUUUGUUAAGUCAGAUGUGAAAUCCCCGGGCUCAACCUGGGAACUGCAUCUGAUACUGGCAAGCUUGAGUCUCGUAGAGGGGGGUAGAAUUCCAGGUGUAGCGGUGAAAUGCGUAGAGAUCUGGAGGAAUACCGGUGGCGAAGGCGGCCCCCUGGACGAAGACUGACGCUCAGGUGCGAAAGCGUGGGGAGCAAACGGG